GUGAACGCUGGCGGUAGGCCUAACACAUGCAAGUCGAACGGCAGCACAGUAAGAGCUUGCUCUUACGGGUGGCGAGUGGCGGACGGGUGAGGAAUACAUCGGAAUCUACUUUUUCGUGGGGGAUAACGUAGGGAAACUUACGCUAAUACCGCAUACGACCUACGGGUGAAAGCAGGGGAUCUUCGGACCUUGCGCGAUUGAAUGAGCCGAUGUCGGAUUAGCCAGUUGGCGGGGUAAAGGCCCACCAAGGCGACGAUCCGUAGCUGGUCUGAGAGGAUGAUCAGCCACACUGGAACUGAGACACGGUCCAGACUCCUACGGGAGGCAGCAGUGGGGAAUAUUGGACAAUGGGCGCAAGCCUGAUCCAGCCAUACCGCGUGGGUGAAGAAGGCCUUCGGGUUGUAAAGCCCUUUUGUUGGGAAAGAAAAGCAGCAGGUUAAUACCCCGCUGUUCUGACGGUACCCAAAGAAUAAGCACUGGCUAACUUCGUG
This 491-nucleotide ribosomal RNA is filed under the name uncultured bacterium. RNAcentral's name for it is "partial 16S ribosomal RNA". It matches the Rfam family "Bacterial small subunit ribosomal RNA", at positions 29 to 507 of the family's 1533-position model. The record is from RNAcentral.